RNAcentral lists this ribosomal RNA (492 nucleotides) under uncultured bacterium. Its description in RNAcentral is "partial 16S ribosomal RNA". It matches the Rfam family "Bacterial small subunit ribosomal RNA", at positions 29 to 507 of the family's 1533-position model. The record is from RNAcentral.
AGUGAACGCUGGCGGUAGGCCUAACACAUGCAAGUCGAACGGCAGCUCAGUAAGAGCUUGCUCCUACGGGUGGAGACUUACGGACCGGUGCGGACAACAACGGACUACAUUUUUACGCGGGUGCUAAUGUCGGGUAUUAUGCGUAUAUAGCGUCUACGACUUAUGGGAGCUAUAUGGGGUUCUUCGGACCUUUCCCUCUCAUUAGCGCGGUUGUCGGAUUACAUCGCUGCAGGGCUAAAGGCGCUACAAGGCGACGUUGCGUAGCCGGUCUGAGAGGAUGAGCAGCCACACUGGAACUGAGACACGGUCCAGACUCCUACGGGAGGCAGCAGUGGGGAAUAUUGGAGAAGGGGCGCAAGCCUGAUCCAGCCAUACCGCGUGGGUGAAGAAGGCCUUCGGGUUGUAAAGCCCUUUUGUUGGGAAAGAAAAGCAGCAGGUUAAUACCCCGCUGUUCUGACGGUACCCAAAGAAUAAGCACCGGCUAACUUCGUG